GCCUACGGGGCGCAGCAGUAGGGAAUCUUCCACAAUGGGCGAAAGCCUGAUGGAGCAACGCCGCGUGGGUGAAGUAGGUCUUCGGAUCGUAAAACCCUGUUGUUAGAGAAGAAAGUGCGUGAGAGUAACUGUUCACGUUUCGACGGUGUCUAACCAGAAAGCCACGGCUAACUACGUGCCAACAGCCGCGGUGAUACGUAGGUGGCAAGCGUUAUCCGGAUUUAUUGGGCGUAAAGGGAACGCAGGCGGUCUUUUAAGUCUGAUGUGAAAGCCUUCGGCUUAACCGGAGUAGUGCAUUGGAAACU
Molecule: ribosomal RNA, 305 nt
Filed under: uncultured bacterium
Lineage: Bacteria
Description: bacterial SSU rRNA
Rfam family: Bacterial small subunit ribosomal RNA
Source: RNAcentral